CCUCAAUACCCUCCCUAACCGGCUGAAGAAAGACGGGCGAAGGCGUGCAAGGAGAGACAGUGACUUUUACCACUCCUAUCUGAGUCCGAGCCAUAAACCGGGGCAGGGGUGCUGAGAGCGCGUGUGGAGUGAGCGUGGAGAGAGAGAGAACGGCUCAGGGAUGAUGUGUGCUAAAUUGAGAAGCUGGAAUUCAAGUCCUAGACUCAAAUGUGUAUAUCCUCAGUGAAAGCAGCGAUAACCAAGGGCACGGGCUGAAUUCUGGAGAUUGAGUGUACAUCAAGAGACACCAGGCGGGGGUGUUGGGACAGCAUUGGUUUGGGCCACACAUCCUACUUCGUACAGUACCUGCAGCAUUAAAGAUCGUCAUGUCUCUCCUUGGGGGGGUGAAUAGUUCUCACGUGAAGUGAGGUCCAGCAGCAUAAUGGGUGAGCUUGAAGACACCAUGACAGAGGAAACAGAGCGAAAGAGAGAGACUAGAUUUCACUGUAAGACAUAGAGAUAUGUUGGUUCUGGGAGCUACUUUAAACAUCAUAGUUUGGUUAGGGUUAGCUGCUUUAUUGGUUAAUGCAUCAUAUGAUAGAGAAUAGAUGUUUGGGUAAUUGUACAAAAUGUUGAAGGCAUUGAUGUGAAAGCAUAUACAGUGCUACGUUGAUUAGGGAUACGCACUUGCAUAUCAGGUGACGUGCCUAUCUGGUGAAAUGGAGGAGAUAAGGACAAAGUGAAAAUGACAUGACUUGGGAACACCUCUCGGAACCUGGCGGCCGAAAGGGGAAGACUGGGCGAAAGCAUGAGGAAGUUUUUUUUAGAGCUUUCAUUUUUGUGGAACCCAACAGGAAAGUAUCCUGGAGGCAUAGAGUCAGGUGAAGAGAGAGUGGGAAUUGUCAGGGUCUCAGACUUUGGUUUUCAUGCAUAUAUAAUUAUGUAUAGCUUAUCACAUUGUUAAUACUGUUAUGUUCUGUGUGUCUUUUUGUUGCUUUCCAAGUCUUAUGCUAUCACUCUCUUAGGAACCAGAAGGCGAAAGUGGAGAAACAAAAAGCGUUCCAUCUGACAUGGAACAAGACAGCAGAUUCAGCUGGAAUGGCAUUUUGUUGUGUGAUGAGAGAUGGAAAUAAAAAUGUGUAUGACGUGAUCAUAGUACAGAUGUCAUAAAUCUCUGAAUUUGUAAACCUGACGGUGAAUGUUUGUUCAUUGUUUGUUCCAUUUGUUAGUUUGUUUAAUUCAUGUUUUAUAAUCAUUUGUUAGGUUUUUUUAAAUACAUGUUUUAUUAUCAUUGUUUAUCCAUUUAUAAGUCAUUUCCAAGUUUAUGUAAAUUGAACAUUAGGACGCUAUUGUUCAAGAGGAGGGACUGUUGGAAUCGGGAUAAACUCUGAACAUUGAGAUAUGAAAUAAAUUAUGGAUGAGAAGCAUAGACUAUAAGGAGUGAAAGAGACUGGGUUUUAUGUCAGACGUUAAUGGUUUUCUGUAGGAAGAGAGGGGCUUUGGAAUGUGUUGGGUGGACGGGAGGAGAUCACAGGAUUGCUAUAGGGGAGCUGUGCUAUUACGAUGGAGGGGUUGAGGUCAGGAGGUCAGGUCAGAUCCCCUGAAGGGAGUAAUAAGGGUUUAUUACCCUAUUACCCGCUUCCUGUGGAACCAUAAGAUGUAAGGAUUGGAGAGCAGGAGGAGAGUCUAAAGUGGGGUAUAUAUAAUUGUGAUGGUGAGAAAUGUUAUUUUGUCUGAAUACAGCUGUAACGACCCUUUGGGAAGAAUUAAACUUGGUUAAGCUAGUGUCGGUGAGUUAUUUACUCUGAAAAAUUAGAACCUAACACCAUCCAAAGUGUAAUUAAUAACUUCACCAUGCUCAAAGGGAUAUUCAAUGUCUGGUUGUGAUACAGCCCGGGGUCGAACCUGGGUCUCUAGUGACGCCUCUUGGACUGAGAUGCAGUGCCUUUGACCGCUCGCCACUCGGUACCGCAAGAAUUGAGGCUGUUCUGAGGGCAAAAGGGGGUACAACUCAAUAUUAAGAAGAUAUUCCUAAUGUUUUGAACACUCAGUGUAUAUUGUAAAGAUAACAGGUUGUUCUUAACCAAUCAAAUGGAAAUAAAUGGAAUGCUUGUUUUCAAUGGAAGGAUUUGAACCUUUGUUGUAUGUUUAGGUUGAUGGGGGGUUGGACUCUCAAUUGGAGGCAGGUGCUUUCUCGUUGCCUCUGAUUGAGAGUCCUAUAUAUGGGUAAUUGUUUGGUUUGGUGUUGUGGGAGAUUGUUUCUUGUUUUGCUGAGUGUGCCUGACAAGACUGUUUUGUUGUUUGUGCGUUUUUCGUUUUUGGUGUUCACUUUAUUUAAAAUAAAUAUCAAGAUGAGCAUCCACAUUCCUGCUGCGUUUUGGUCCUCUAUUCCCGACGACAACCGUUACAUUCUGUUUGUUUCCAUAGUCACCAAU
This 2414-nucleotide long non-coding RNA is filed under the name Salmo salar (Atlantic salmon). Its description in RNAcentral is "lncRNA (ENSSSAG00000083230.1)". The record is from RNAcentral. Lineage: Eukaryota; Metazoa; Chordata; Actinopteri; Salmoniformes; Salmonidae.